This 3409-nucleotide long non-coding RNA is filed under the name Homo sapiens (human). RNAcentral describes it as "HSALNT0326168". Lineage: Eukaryota; Metazoa; Chordata; Mammalia; Primates; Hominidae. The record is from RNAcentral.
ACAGGGACAGGAUGAGACUGACAGGCCUGACUGAAUAACAAAGCCCCGUGGACUGUGAUUGGUAAAGAAGACUGAGGUUCCCUGGCCUGAGAGAAGUGAAGAUCCAGCCAUGAGAGGAGCUAGCCAGUGAAUCUGGCCCAUCUCAGUGAUAUUAAGCUUGAGGGCCAUUGUGAAUUGAAUUUCAUCUCUGGGAACUGAGAGGACCCUGGAUGAAGCAACUUAUUGUGUUUAAGGAACUUUGGUGAUGGCUGAAAACUGGAUACCAAUUUUCACAAAGUGGAUCAAUGUGGAUGCCCCAGAUAAUAGUCACUGCAGUACAGAACUUGAGCAACCUUCUAGAAUGGGUUACUAAAGAAGAUGCUAGUGCCUGGAAAGGGAGAUUUUGAGAGCCAAGUUGGAUUGGACCAUCCUCACUCUCUUUCCUCACAGGUUUAAUUGACUUGACCAUGAAUCAAUAAGGAAUGCUGUAGACAUAGUGGGCCUGGAUUUCAUGAGGCAGUUGAAAAUGUUUCCCAUGAGAUCCUCAUGGGAACUAAAUAAUAUGGCCUGAGGGAUAAGGAGAUUUAUGUGGCUUUCUAGUUAGCUGAACUGCCAGGGGUAAGGGGUGCUGGGAAAUGGUCCGUGUGUCAACCUGCCCAAGAUCUGGAAAGUGGUGUCCAGAAAACAUCGUCUGCCUCAUCUUAUUCAACAGGAACAUGGCUGGCAGGAGAUUUUAACCUCAUUUGACAUACUUUUUUUUUUAAAUGUAAGUGUGUUUUAAUGUUAAUGCGUAAAUGAAAAUUAACUGUUAAGAAAUUUAAUAUCCUUUUGAUCCCUCCCCAUUCUUGCCAAGAUAAACUCCAAUCAUGUAAGUUUCCUAUGCUUGAUUGAUUGCAAAAUGGCUACAAUUAUUCAUCCCUUCCUAUAUAGAGAGACUUUGCAAUAAGACUUUGUAGCACCUGCCAUCAAGAGGUAGUCUAUGCCCUUGUCCUUUGAAUCUGAAGUGCUCUUGUGACUUGCCAUGGUCAAUAAAAUGUGGCAGAAGUUAUGAUAUGCCAGUUCCAACCCUAGGUCUGAAGUGGCCUGUAUGUUGCCACUCUUCCUGGCAGCACUGUGUGAACUAGCUCAGGCUAGCCUGACACACAGCGAGAAACACAUUGCCUUCUCACCCAGCCAAUGGCCAGCAAGUGAGUGAGGCCACCCAAGACCAGCCAGCCCCCAAUCUGCCACUCGACCCCUGACACAUUAGUGAGCCCAGUGGUGAUCACACAGGCCCCAGCCAGUUCACCAGAGCUUUGCAGCUGACUGGUUGACUCGUGAACAAUAAUAAAGGUUUAUUGUCUGAAGUCACUAGGUUUUGAAGGUGUGUUGUUAGGUAGCAAAAAGCCAAUUAUUACAGCCCACACAUAUCUGUCCUACUUCAGCUCUUGUCUUGCUACUCUGGCCCUUAUAUUCCAUGCUCCAGUCAUGCUGUGAACAAACUGUAUGUCAAUUCCUCCACAGCUUUGCAAACACAAACCUCUGCCUGUCUAUCCUCCCUCCUCCCAUACCCAUCCUUCUUCAUCUGGCUAAUUCCUACUCAUCUUCUGAGACUCAUCUCAGGCACCACUUUUGGUAGUCUAGGCAGCAUUCUCUGAGCUCCCUGUCCCCAGACCUCUUCACACCCUGGUUGAGUGCCUCUCCUCCUGCACACUGCUGAUGGUCCUAAUCUAUGCCUUUGUCAAGCACUUAUCCUAAAUUAAAAUCAUCUGUUUACUCAGCUUCCUAUUUUCAUUUCACUAUGAAUUCUUUGAAGGUAGCAAUCGUGUCCUUUAUCUGUUAUUGCAACAACUAGUACAAUUCCUCAAAAAUGGUGCUCUGUAAAUGUUUGUUAAAUGAUAUGAAUUCAAUUUUAAAAUAAUGAGUAUAUUUAGUUUUGAAAAGAGAAGUGUGUUAGUCCGUUUUCAUGCUGCGGAUAAAGACUUACCCGAGACUGAGCAAUUUAUAAAGAAAAAGAGGUUUAAUGGACUCACAGUUCCACAUGGCUAGGGAGGUAGAAGGCAAAAGGCACAUCUUACAUCGUGGCAAACAAGUGAGAAUGAAAGAACCAAGCAAAAGGGGUUUCCCCUUAUAAAACCAUCAGCUCUUGUGAGACUUAUUCAUUACCACGAGAACAGUAUGGGGGAAACCGCCCUCGUGAUUCAGUUAUCUCCCACCAGGUCCCUCCCACAACAUGUGGGAAUUAUGGGAGCUACAAUUCAAGAUGUGAUUUGGGUGGAGAAGCAGCCAAACCAUAGCAAGAAGAUAUAAAGGGGCUGAUAGAGUUAAUAAAUAUACCAUUAGGCUCGAGAAUAGCCAGAGGUUACCAAUUAGAUCUUCCUUGCUCCAGAGGAACCAGUUGGUAAGUUUUAGUUCCUUUAGCCAUUUAUUUCCAGCAGGUAACAUGUAUUCCUCAAAACAGAUGUCACCACUGACCAACACCCACUGUCUGUAAAGGAAAGCUGAAUAAAACCAUGAGCACCCCCAUAAAGUCUUUCAUUUGGAUGGGAACAAAGAUCAUGCAGUAUAACGUCUCCAAGGCCCAUCUUCCAUCCACCACUGAGUUACUGAUUCUAUCAUUUUAAAGAAAUCAGAAAGAGGCAAUCCUAAAUAUAAUGAAUUCAUGGACAGCAUUUAUUGAUGACCUCAAGGAAAAGACUUCAAAGCAACAUAAUCAUGUUCUUCAAAUCACUUUUUUGAGUCGUCAUAUGGGAGAAACUUACUCUUUAUGGCUCUGAAAGGCAGAGUUUGGACUAAUGAAGGUAAAAUUCAGACAGAUGCAUGUAUGGAUUUCCUAAUAAUUAGAUGUGUUUUAAAAAAUGGAGCAAGAAGAUCUUGAGAAACAGUGCUCUCAUUGUCCCUGGAGAUGUCCGAAGAAAGAUUGUUCGAUAACGCAUCUGCAAAGCUGCAAGAAAGUUUCAUGCCAUGGGAACAGGUGGAGUUCCUUCUAGUUUGCUAUUAAUCAAAAGACAGCUCUAUUUGGGGAUUGCCACAAACCAUUUCCCACAAGCUGUCUGCUAGAAAACUACAUCCCCUGGCCAGAGGUGACCAACUGGGACUGGGGGUGGACAUUUGACAUCAUCCUGAACUUCAAAGACAGAAAUUUGGAUACGGUGGGGGACUGCCUUCUGGCAUGCCCAUAGAGGAAUGUAGGAAGCUUCUCUGCAGAGAAAUACAGUAAUAAAUGCGGAUUGAGCAACUACUGUGUGCCAGGCACUGUGCUAGGCAUGGGCAAGCCUGAAGGAAACAAAUCAAACAAAAUCCUCGCAUUCAUGAAACUCACAUCUAGUAAAACCCAGGAAAUAAAAAUGAGAGGGAGGGAGAAAACAGAAGAGCAUGGCCCCUGAAUGCUGUCUUUGGGUUCUGUGAGAAACUCUAAUGAUUCUCCAAUAAACUUCCUGCUUUGCUCACA